This is a non-coding RNA of Halobacteroides halobius DSM 5150, 192 nucleotides long. NCBI's taxonomy places the organism in Bacteria, Bacillati, Bacillota, Clostridia, Halanaerobiales, Halobacteroidaceae. The record is from Rfam.
UAGAACUAAAAGACCUAUCAGUCAAAUGAGAGGGUUAACACCUUGAAGGGCUGACGAUGAUACUCCGAACUGCAAUAAAUUGAUUAAGUAAUUUAUUGUAGUAAGCUCGGUGAAGUCGGGUGAGAGUUGUCGUAAUCAUACGAAAAUUAUUCAGCGGUGGAUAAUGCAACUUAUAGCUCGGUCGCCCAUAAA